This 466-nucleotide ribosomal RNA is filed under the name uncultured bacterium. RNAcentral describes it as "partial 16S ribosomal RNA". The stretch from base 49 to 466 matches the Rfam family "Bacterial small subunit ribosomal RNA", at positions 39 to 507 of the family's 1533-position model. The record is from RNAcentral.
GGGGGGGGGGGGGGGGGUGCUGGGGACGUGGGGGGCGGGGGGGGGGGCGCGGCGUGCAGGGGGCUCGGGUGGCGAACGGGGGGGUAAGGCGGGGGUGGUCGGCCCUGCACGUCGGGAUGGGCUUGGGCAACUGGGGCUAGUACCUGUUGGGCGCCAUCUGUGGGGUGGGUGUUGGAAGGUUUUUUCGUUGUAGGAUGAGCGCGCGGCCUAUCAGCUUGUUGGUGGGGUAAUGGCCUACCAAGGCGGCGACGGUUAGCCGGCCGGAGAAGGUGUACGGGCACAUUGGGACUGAGAUACGGCCCAGACUCCUACGGGCGGCAGCAGUGGGGAAUAUUGCACAAUGGGCGCAAGCCUGAUGCCGCGACGCCGCGUGGGGGAUGAAGGCCUUCGGGUUGUAAACUCCUGUCGCUAGGGACGAAGCUUUUUUGUGACGGUACCUAGAUAAGAAGCACCGGCUAACUACGUG